GCCUCUGAUUCAACUCACCCCUGCCGCAGUCUUACAGGGAAAACACUUCCUCUAAAACUAUUUCACCAAAGUCAGAGAAAGAGAGGAGAUUCUUUUUACGGCACAGGUAUACCUUGGAGAUAUUCCAGAUUUAGUUCCAGACCACUACCAUUAACAUCCAUGAUGUCCCAUUGGCACAGAAUUCUGGUGGAACCAUGAUGCAGGAGAGUUCAGCUAGACCCAGAUCUUUUUGUUGCUGUUGUUGUUAUUAUACUGAAGAGCUACGUGAGACAGAAAGCUUGGCAGCCUUCCCACAAUCCUCAGCAUGUGGGAAUAGCAAGUAAUAAAGUGUUAGCCCCUGCCAACUGGUGGUUCCGUGUAAAUGUCUCUGUUAACAACCAACACUGCUGCUAGCAGCCAUCGGAGCAAAGCGGCAAAUCUGUUCCUCUCUCCGGUGUGG
Molecule: non-coding RNA, 439 nt
Organism: Microcebus murinus (gray mouse lemur)
Lineage: Eukaryota; Metazoa; Chordata; Mammalia; Primates; Cheirogaleidae
Source: RefSeq, a predicted model, not a curated record